GGUCCGUAGGCCGGUCUUAUAAGUCAGUGGUGAAAAUCUCCCCGCUCAACGGGGAAACGGCCAUUGAUACUGUAAGACUUGAAUUAUUAGGAAGUAACUAGAAUAUGUAGUGUAGCGGUGAAAUGCUUAGAGAUUACAUGGAAUACCAAUUGCGAAGGCAGGUUACUACUAAUGGAUUGACGCUGAUGGACGAAAGCGUGGGUAGCGAACAGGAUUAGAUACCCUGGUAGUCCACGCCGUAAACGAUGGAUACUAGCUGUUGGGAGCAAUCUCAGUGGCUAAGCGAAAGUGAUAAGUAUCCCACCUGGGGAGUACGUUCGCAAGAAUGAAACUCAAAGGAAUUGACGGGGGCCCGCACAAGCGGUGGAGCAUGUGGUUUAAUUCGAUGAUACGCGAGGAACCUUACCAAGGCUUAAAUGUAGAUUGACCGUUUUGGAAACAGAACUUUCGCAAGACAAUUUACAAGGUGCUGCAUGGUUGUCGUCAGCUCGUGCCGUGAGGUGUCAGGUUAAGUCCUAUAACGAGCGCAACCCCUGUUGUUAGUUGCCAGCGAGUCAUGUCGGGAACUCUAACGAGACUGCCAGUGCAAACUGUGAGGAAGGUGGGGGAUGACGUCAAAUCAUCACGGCCCUUACGCCUUGGGCUACACACGUGCUACAAUGGCCGGUACAGAGAGCAGCCACUGGGGUGACCAGGAGCGAAUC
Molecule: ribosomal RNA, 704 nt
Filed under: uncultured bacterium
Lineage: Bacteria
Description: bacterial SSU rRNA
Rfam family: Bacterial small subunit ribosomal RNA
Source: RNAcentral